CCUACGGGUGGCAGCAGUGAGGAAUAUUGGUCAAUGGGCGCGAGCCUGAACCAGCCAAGUAGCGUGAAGGAUGACUGCCCUAUGGGUUGUAAACUUCUUUUAUAAGGGAAUAAAAUGUGCCACGUGUGGCCUUUUGUAUGUACCCUAUGAAUAAGCAUCGGCUAACUCCGUGCCAGCAGCCGCGGUAAUACGGAGGAUCCGAGCGUUAUCCGGAUUUAUUGGGUUUAAAGGGAGCGUAGAUGGGUUGUUAAGUCAGUUGUGAAAGUUUGCGGCUCAACCGUAAAAUUGCAAUUGAAACUGGCAGCCUUGAGUACAGUAGAGGUAGGCGGAAUUCGUGGUGUAGCGGUGAAAUGCUUAGAUAUCACGAAGAACUCCGAUUGCGAAGGCAGCUUACUGGACUGCAACUGACAUUGAGGCUCGAAAGUGUGGGUAUCAAACAGGAUUAGAUACCCGAGUAGUC
Molecule: ribosomal RNA, 460 nt
Filed under: uncultured bacterium
Lineage: Bacteria
Description: partial 16S ribosomal RNA
Rfam family: Bacterial small subunit ribosomal RNA
Source: RNAcentral